UAACACUUAUGUUGUAUUACUCAAACAUGCAACUAAAUGUUACAACAUGUUUAUCACAUAUAUAUUAGCUAAAACAUGCUAUGCUUAGUCAGUUGUUGAUUACUUUUCAAUGCUUUUCCUGGGCCUAGUCAGGGUAGCAGGAUCUUUAAAUGUUUCAUACUAUAGUUAGCGAUGUUAAAUUUUUUUAUGUGUCCUAGAUCAGCUAGAUAAGCCAGCGACUAGAUGGAAUGCUUUAUAAAAAAGGUAUAUAAUGCACUGUGCCGCC
This is a non-coding RNA of Pelobates cultripes (western spadefoot toad), 265 nucleotides long. The record is from the annotation of a GenBank genome assembly. Lineage: Eukaryota; Metazoa; Chordata; Amphibia; Anura; Pelobatidae.